This 847-nucleotide ribosomal RNA is filed under the name uncultured bacterium. RNAcentral's name for it is "bacterial SSU rRNA". It matches the Rfam family "Bacterial small subunit ribosomal RNA", at positions 51 to 890 of the family's 1533-position model. The record is from RNAcentral.
ACACAUGCAAGUCGAGGGGCAGCAUGGUCUUAGCUUGCUAAGGCCGAUGGCGACCGGCGCACGGGUGAGUAACACGUAUCCAACCUGCCGUCUACUCUUGGACAGCCUUCUGAAAGGAAGAUUAAUACAAGAUGGCAUCAUGAGUCCGCAUGUUCACAUGAUUAAAGGUAUUCCGGUAGACGAUGGGGAUGCGUUCCAUUAGAUAGUAGGCGGGGUAACGGCCCACCUAGUCUUCGAUGGAUAGGGGUUCUGAGAGGAAGGUCCCCCACAUUGGAACUGAGACACGGUCCAAGCUCCUACGGGAGGCAGCAGUGAGGAAUAUUGGUCAAUGGGCGAGAGCCUGAACCAGCCAAGUAGCGUGAAGGAUGACUGCCCUAUGGGUUGUAAACUUCUUUUAUAAAGGAAUAAAGUCGGGUAUGGAUACCCGUUUGCAUGUACUUUAUGAAUAAGGAUCGGCUAACUCCGUGCCAGCAGCCGCGGUAAUACGGAGGAUCCGAGCGUUAUCCGGAUUUAUUGGGUUUAAAGGGAGCGUAGAUGGAUGUUUAAGUCAGUUGUGAAAGUUUGCGGCUCAACCGUAAAAUUGCAGUUGAUACUGGAUAUCUUGAGUGCAGUUGAGGCAGGCGGAAUUCGUGGUGUAGCGGUGAAAUGCUUAGAUAUCACGAAGAACUCCGACUGCGAAGGCAGCCUGCUAAGCUGCAACUGACAUUGAGGCUCGAAAGUGUGGGUAUCAAACAGGAUUAGAUACCCUGGUAGUCCACACGGUAAACGAUGAAUACUCGCUGUUUGCGAUAUACUGCAAGCGGCCAAGCGAAAGCGUUAAGUAUUCCACCUGGGGAGUACGCCGGCA